Molecule: long non-coding RNA, 965 nt
Filed under: Mus pahari (shrew mouse)
Lineage: Eukaryota; Metazoa; Chordata; Mammalia; Rodentia; Muridae
Description: lncRNA (MGP_PahariEiJ_G0003263.1)
Source: RNAcentral
ACGCAGCGCGCUGGCCGAAACGCAGGAGUAAGAGCUUUGAAGCCUCGGGUGCGUUGUACCUCCUGGAGCUGUGUGCAGAGGAAGUGAUGGAUCGCCUUUUCUCCACUCUUCCCACACUGGAAUGCCUACGAGCUGUCUGUCCCCCCUCCUCCCCGAGGUCUCGGGCUCGCUAAGUAGAGGAGGGUGGCUUUGAACGGAUGAUCCUACUGCUUCUGCAUCCCCAGGGCAGGAAGCUUAGACCCAGAAGUGUUCUGUGAACUCUGAAUUUGAAAAUGCUAAACUUGGGAAUCAGACAAGGAAAACAACUGUUAAGAGACCAGACUAAAUGCAGUCGGCAGAAGUCUUCACCGAUAGAUACUACAUGCUGCAUCAGGACCAACAGACUGAAGAGUCCUAGUUGCCAAACCAAAGAUUUCACCACCAGUGGCACCAACAAAGCCACCAGCAGUAGGAGGUGACUUCAGCAGGCAGGAGUAACAGAUUCUGCCCACCUCCACCCAUCUCAGCAGUAGAAAAGGCAGGGCUGGGCUUUACCUGUUCCCACCAAAGGCCAUGGCACCCUGACAGACGCUCCUGUUUUUAUGUGUGAUCUAAAGAUGGGGGUUUGAAACCAAAAUAAGGCCCAAGUUCUAUUACACUUUGAGCUUGACUCUAAAAACCACACGAAGAGAUAUUGCACCUUAAAACACCUCUGUACUAAAAACUUGGCUUGACCAGAUCAUCCGAGGAGUAGGGACAUUUGGCCUGAAGCCUGCCCUCUGUCCCCAGUGUCUAGUUGCAAAUGUGCCUCUCAGAGGGGUAGAGCCCACAGCUGAGCUCACAGAGGUGGUGAGCACACCAAAUUUCACAUGCAAUUUCCUGGCCUUUCCUGCACAGAGUAAUUCAGACAUUAUAUAAACAGAGCAGUGGGACAUUUACUUUUUUUUCCAUCUAGACCUACAACAUCAAUACAUAUAAAUAAAUUC